This 325-nucleotide ribosomal RNA is filed under the name uncultured eukaryote. RNAcentral's name for it is "partial 18S ribosomal RNA". It matches the Rfam family "Eukaryotic small subunit ribosomal RNA", at positions 1470 to 1796 of the family's 1831-position model. The record is from RNAcentral.
CCCUUAGAUGUUCUGGGCCGCACGCGCGCUACACUGAUGCAUUCAACGAGCCUAUCCUUGACCGACAGGUCCGGGUAAUCUUUGAAUCUGCAUCGUGACGGGGAUAGAUUAUUGCAAUUAUUAAUCUUCAACGAGGAAUGCCUAGUAGGCGCAAGUCUUCAGCUUGCGUCGAUUACGUCCCUGCCCUUUGUACACACCGCCCGUCGCUCCUACCGAUUGGGUGUGCUGGUGAAAUGUUCGGAUCGGCCGUUUGUCGCGGUUUCCGCGUCAUGUGGCUGAGAAGUUCAUUAAACCCUCCCACCUAGAGGAAGGAGAAGUCGUAACA